AUACGGAGGAUCCGAGCGUUAUCCGGAUUUAUUGGGUUUAAAGGGUGCGCAGGCGGCCAUUUAAGUCAGCGGUUAAAUCGUGGGGCUCAACCCCAUUCUGCCGUUGAUACUGGGUGGCUUGAUUGCGGUCGAGGUUAGCGGAAUUCGUUGUGUAGCGGUGAAAUGCAUAGAUAUGACGAAGAACACCGAUUGCGUAGGCAGCUGACCAGACCGCAAAUGACGCUCAUGCACGAAAGUGCGGGGAUCGAACAGGAUUAGAUACCCUGGUAGUCCGCACAGUAAACGAUGAAUACUUGUUUUCGGCGAUAUAAUGUCGGAGGCGAAGCGAAAGCGAUAAGUAUUCCUCCUGGGGAGUACGCCGGCAACGGUGAAACUCAAAUGAAUUGGCGGGG
This 392-nucleotide ribosomal RNA is filed under the name uncultured bacterium. RNAcentral describes it as "partial 16S ribosomal RNA". It matches the Rfam family "Bacterial small subunit ribosomal RNA", at positions 523 to 918 of the family's 1533-position model. The record is from RNAcentral.